UCUACGGGAGGCAGCAGUGAGGAAUAUUGGUCAAUGGCCGAGAGGCUGAACCAGCCAAGUCGCGUGAGGGAAGACGGCCCUACGGGUUGUAAACCUCUUUUGUCGGGGAGCAAAGAGAGUCACGUGUGACUCAUUGAGAGUACCCGAAGAAAAAGCAUCGGCUAACUCCGUGCCAGCAGCCGCGGUAAUACGUAGGAGGCAAGCGUUAUCCGGAAUGACUGGGCGUAAAGGGUGCGUAGGUGGUUUGACAAGUUGGUAGCGUAACUCCGAGGCUUAACCUCGGCACUACUACCAAAACUGUUGGACUCGAGUGCAGGAGGGGCAAAUGGAAUUCCUAGUGUAGCGGUGGAAUGCGUAGAUAUUAGGAGGAACACCAGUGGCGAAGGCGAUUUGCUGGACUGUAACUGACACUGAGGCACGAAAGCGUGGGGAGCAAACAGGAUUAGAUACCCCAGUAGUC
This 460-nucleotide ribosomal RNA is filed under the name uncultured bacterium. RNAcentral describes it as "partial 16S ribosomal RNA". It matches the Rfam family "Bacterial small subunit ribosomal RNA", at positions 338 to 795 of the family's 1533-position model. The record is from RNAcentral.